ACUGUUUAUGAUGAAAUGACUUAUUCAGAGGACAGAUACUGUGAAUAUGUGAGCUGUGCUAUGACCAGCUGGCCUAUUUUGGAUUUCAGCCGCAAUACACAGAUGGAAAGUAUGUUUCUAGAUUGCAUGAUUUCUUUUUAAAAUCUGCUUUUUUUUUUUUUUUUUUUUAAUCAGCAAUUACUGAGGUUACAGAGAAAGUGUGGCAGUUCCUUUGAAGCUUAAAGAGAGUUCAAAGAUCAUUCAAACACCAUUUUCUGAAUGUUUUUCUGGAGACCUGCACAUUUUUUGCAACCCCACUGCUGAAAUCUCAAACAGAUUGACUGUAAGACAAAGAAACCUUGUGUCUUUGGGAUUACUUGAUUGCUGACCUCUUUGUUCCAAUACCUGAAAACACUUGCAAACUCAGAACUCCUGACUGAGAUGGAAUACAACUUUUGUAAUAUAUCCAGUAUUGGCUUACCAAUUUCAAGUGACAGAAGCAAGGUUCCUGUCAGGGAACUACCCAUCAGACAACAACCUGCAGCAAACAAACAGUUCAACAUUUCACGAGUCAUAUUCAUUUAUAUGUUGCAGAUGAACGUUUGUGAUUGAUUCUCUAGCAAUGGAACAGGUAAUUUUCAUGCAAAUGAAUAAUUGAACCAACCUUGCCAUCUUCAGUAUCUUCAGACUUAGUUUGAAGCAACCACUUUCAGCUGGAAUGAGAGUACUUAAUGGAAUAGACAUCACUGCUUCAUAGCUCAUUCAGCCAAAAUUGUCUUCUGCUUGAAUUGGCCAGUGUGCAUACCACAGAGAAGCAAUGCUAAGUACCUUCUGGUGGAAUCCCUAGAAAGGUUUUGGAAAAUCUCAGAAUGCAUAACAAGUUGCAGUGAAAGCACUAUAAUCAUGAAGUCAUCCUUGUAAUUCUAUGGUACUUUGUUUAAUUUUCCAAAGCAUUAAGGAAAUUCCAGCUGAAAACUCUCUGUAGAAAGCCUGCCUGUCUGUGAGAGGUUGGGAGAGAUAAUAUUGUAAUUUUGAUAACUUUCCACUGUCUAUUACAGUGAAGAGAAAGAACAGUAAGUACCCUGGUAACAGCAGGCACUAGAAAGAUGCAGAGGAAAAAAACCCAUCAAAGAAUAUAAGGUGAGCUUGAGGGAAUCACAUAGGUGUAGUUGGACCUCCCCUAUCUAAUCCCAUCAAGAUUUCACACCUUCCUCUCCCAUUCCUGAUCAUGAAUAGUAGAACCACUAGGAAAGAUAUUUUGUGUCAAAAAUGGUUAGCAACUAAAUACAGCAGAAUAGGUUAUUCAAUAUCACAUGUGAAUUAAUUGGAUCAUAUUAUACACAAACUUGAGAAGUUUACAGAUUUUGUUUGUCUUCACUGUGUAAUAUGAACAAAAGCUUGUACAUUGCAAGCAAAUCACUAGGAUACUUGCCUACAGCUUCAAGCAUCAGAUAAACAAUUGGUUUGGCAUUUUCAAAGGACCUUAACUGGUUGCCAUGCCUCUUCAAUGUUUCUGUAUUAAAAAUAUACUUAUCU
This 1515-nucleotide long non-coding RNA is filed under the name Taeniopygia guttata (zebra finch). RNAcentral describes it as "lncRNA (ENSTGUG00000018876.1)". Lineage: Eukaryota; Metazoa; Chordata; Aves; Passeriformes; Estrildidae. The record is from RNAcentral.